Molecule: ribosomal RNA, 265 nt
Filed under: uncultured prokaryote
Description: partial 16S ribosomal RNA
Rfam family: Bacterial small subunit ribosomal RNA
Source: RNAcentral
UACGUAGGUGGCAAGCGUUAUCCGGAAUUAUUGGGCGUAAAGAGCGCGCAGGUGGUUGAUUAAGUCUGAUGUGAAAGCCCACGGCUUAACUGCGGGGGUGCAUCUGAAACUGUUUCUCUUGAGUGUCGGAGAGGAAAGUGGAAUUCCCAGUGUAGCGGUGAAAUGCGUAGAGAUUGGGAGGAACACCAGUGGCGAAGGCGGCUUUCUGGACGAUAACUGACGCUGAGGCGCGAAAGCGUGGGUAGCAAACAGGAUUAGAUACCCU